AUACGGAAGGUCCGGGCGUUAUCCGGAUUUAUUUGGUUUAAAGGGAGCGCAGGCGGAGAUGCAAGCGUGACGUCAAAUUUCGGGGCUCAACCCCGUCUCGCGUCGCGAACUGCGUCCCUUGGUUGCGGGAAGGGGAGGCGGAACUCGGGGUGUAGCGGUGAAAUGCAUAGAUAUCACGAAGAACUCCGAUCGCGAAGGCAGCCUUCCGGCCCGUCAACGACGCUCAUGCUCGAAGGUGCGGGUAUCAAACAGGAUUAGAUACCCUGGUAGUCCGCACAGUAAACGAUGGACACCCGCGGUUUGGCCUGUAUGGCUGAGCCGCCAAGCGAAAGCGUUAAGUGUCCCACCUGGGGAGUACGCCGGCAACGGUGAAACUCAAAUGAAUUGACGGGG
This 393-nucleotide ribosomal RNA is filed under the name uncultured bacterium. RNAcentral's name for it is "partial 16S ribosomal RNA". It matches the Rfam family "Bacterial small subunit ribosomal RNA", at positions 523 to 918 of the family's 1533-position model. The record is from RNAcentral.